GUCGUAACAAGGUCUCCGUAGGUGAACCUGCGG
RNAcentral lists this ribosomal RNA (33 nucleotides) under Pseudocyphellaria aurata. Its description in RNAcentral is "partial 18S ribosomal RNA". The record is from RNAcentral. Lineage: Eukaryota; Fungi; Ascomycota; Lecanoromycetes; Peltigerales; Lobariaceae.